Molecule: RNA transcript, 1935 nt
Organism: Synchiropus splendidus (mandarinfish)
Lineage: Eukaryota; Metazoa; Chordata; Actinopteri; Syngnathiformes; Callionymidae
Gene: cuedc1b
Gene name: CUE domain containing 1b
Exons: 12
Source: RefSeq, a predicted model, not a curated record
CCAUCCGAUCUGGCAUUUUGCUCUGUAGCUCCACCCACUUAUGGUUUUGUUGGUGUGGGUCUGAAACGGUUGGCGCUUCAGCUGGAUGCUUCUGGUUUCAUGGCGGAGCAGCAGAUGGGGACGGACAAAUUCCCUCUGUUUUACGUUGCUACCAUUGCAAACGGCAGAUGAUCCUUUGGGAUGUUAUUGGAGCUCCUUCGGGCGGCGGGUGUGGACUCCUAAGGAAACCAUGCAUUUUCCCUGAUUGAUGCAGAAUUUAUUUGUACUUUAAUAACAGGUUGUCAGUCCCUGAGACGGGGAGAACUUCAUGAUGACCAGCUUGUUCAGACGCAGCAAUAGCAGUGGGGGCUCCAGAGGCAAUGGAAGUGGUGGGGGCAGCAACGGACAGGGCCAGCUCAAUAACAGCAGACCCAACAGGCAGGUGCGGCGCCUAGAGUUCAACCAGGCUAUGGAGGACUUCAAGACCAUGUUCCCCACUAUGGACUAUGAAGUCAUUGAGUGUGUGCUUCGCUCCAACAAUGGUGCUGUAGACGCCACUAUUGACCAGUUGCUUCAGAUGAGCAUCGAUGGGCAAGUUUCGGAUGAUAGCUCCGACUCUGAUGACAGCAUCCCAGCAGAGAUUCUUGAGCGGACACUUGAACCGGACAGCUCAGAUGAAGAGCCACCUCCUGUCUACUCUCCACCAACCUAUGACAUGCAUGUAUAUGACAGAAAAUGCCCUCAGGCCCCGCCAACACCACCACUAGGAUUUGAAACACAGGCACUGGCCGGGCGCCAGCAAGGGGCCAAAUUCACAAGCUGGAACCCCCCGCUUCUUGGCAAUCUCCCAGAAGAUUUCCUGCGAAUCCUGCCUCAGCAGUUGGAUGGUAUCAAGAGUUCAAAGACCACUCUACCCCAGCCUUUAUCGGUGUCUUCUUUACUACCAUCUAUGGGAAACCAAUGCAGAUCAAUGCCAGAUUCACGGUCUGCAGCUGCGGGGAAGAACGCAGGCCCAAGUCUCGCACCAGCACCUACAGAACGAGAUCACAAACUCAAACAGUAUCUAGAAGAUGAGCGCAUUGCCUUGUUCCUUCAGAAUGAGGAGUUUAUGCAAGAAUUGCAGCGUAAUCGUGAGUUCCUCAUUGCCCUGGAGAGAGAUCGCUUGAAGUACGAGUCAAAGAAAUUGAAGUCCAAUCAGUCGUCUGUCAUGGGGACUUUCACAGGUGAUGAGUGCUGUGGAGCUUCCCUGGACGCUGUCUCAGACGAGGCACUCUUCAGGGACAAACUCAAACAUAUGGGCAAAUCAACCAGGACAAAAUUGUUUGAACUGGCCAAAACUUUCUCUGAAAAGACUAAGAGAAGAAAGUCAAAGAGCCGGACACUCCUGAAGCACCACUCAUUGGGCACAGCCAAUUCCACCGCCAACCUCCUUGACGACGUGGAAGGAAACCUCUGUGUAGACGAUCGUCAUCAGAAGCAAGAAGUCUCCAAGGAUGAGAAAGAGUAUCAAAACAAGCCAGAAUCUUGGUAAAUUUAAGGCAUUUGUUUCUGUUCUGUCUUUGGAUUGAUAUCGUUGUUUUUCCAAACAACAGAUUAACACUCCAGUGGCAUCAGGAACUGACUAUCAUCAAGUCGACUUUUGUGUCCCAUGUUGAGAUCCUCUAUGCUGCACUCCGAGGGUUUCCAUGGCAUGAUGGCAUCCUGUCCAAGGGCUGGUGGCCUUGCAGUUCUGUCGGUGCCACAUGCUUAAUAUGAUAUUACACUGCCUGUUACAAAUGUUGUCUUCCUCCACAGGCAGGGAAUUGGGACUCCUCUUUGUUUGGGUUUUAAUAUUUGUCUGUAGUCUAUAUUAUUGUUAAAAUAUCAUUUAUGACACCAUGAUGUGCUUUUCGUAGCAGUAUUCUUUUUUCUCUCCUAAUGGGUGCCAGACAAUAGUUGAUAAUAUUUCCCCAAGUU